AUUGAACGCUGGCGGAAUGCUUUACACAUGCAAGUCGAACGGCAGCACGGACUUCGGUCUGGUGGCGAGUGGCGAACGGGUGAGUAAUACAUCGGAACGUGCCCAGUCGUGGGGGAUAACGUAGCGAAAGCUACGCUAAUACCGCAUACGAUCUAAGGAUGAAAGCGGGGGACCGUAAGGCCUCGCGCGAUUGGAGCGGCCGAUGGCAGAUUAGGUAGUUGGUGGGGUAAAGGCUCACCAAGCCGACGAUCUGUAGCUGGUCUGAGAGGACGACCAGCCACACUGGGACUGAGACACGGCCCAGACUCCUACGGGAGGCAGCAGUGGGGAAUUUUGGACAAUGGGCGAAAGCCUGAUCCAGCAAUGCCGCGUGUGUGAAGAAGGCCUUCGGGUUGUAAAGCACUUUUGUCCGGAAAGAAAUGGCUCUGGUUAAUACCUGGGGUCGAUGACGGUACCGGAAGAAUAAGGACCGGCUAACUACGUGCCAGCCGCCGCAGUAA
Molecule: ribosomal RNA, 500 nt
Filed under: uncultured bacterium
Lineage: Bacteria
Description: partial 16S ribosomal RNA
Rfam family: Bacterial small subunit ribosomal RNA
Source: RNAcentral